RNAcentral lists this ribosomal RNA (433 nucleotides) under uncultured bacterium. RNAcentral's name for it is "partial 16S ribosomal RNA". It matches the Rfam family "Bacterial small subunit ribosomal RNA", at positions 29 to 507 of the family's 1533-position model. The record is from RNAcentral.
AGCGAACGCUGGCGGCAUGCCUAACACAUGCAAGUCGAACGAGACCUUCGGGUCUAGUGGCGCACGGGUGCGUAACGCGUGGGAACCUGCCCUUAGGUUCGGAAUAACUCCCUGAAAGGGGUGCUAAUACCGGAUAAUGUCUUCGGACCAAAGAUUUAUCGCCUUUGGAUGGGCCCGCGUUGGAUUAGCUAGUUGGUAGGGUAAAAGCCUACCAAGGCGACGAUCCAUAGCUGGUCUGAGAGGAUGAUCAGCCACACUGGGACUGAGACACGGCCCAGACUCCUACGGGAGGCAGGAGUGGGGAAUAUUGGACCAUGGGCGAAAGCCUGAUCCAGCUAUGCCGCGUGAGUGAUGAAGGCCUUAGGGUUGUAAAGCUCUUUUAACCGGGAUGAUAAUGACAGUACCGGGAGAAUAAGCGCCGGCUAACUCCGUG